Long non-coding RNA from Myotis daubentonii (Daubenton's bat), 710 nucleotides. RefSeq lists it as uncharacterized. The record is from RefSeq and is a predicted model, not a curated record. Lineage: Eukaryota; Metazoa; Chordata; Mammalia; Chiroptera; Vespertilionidae.
CUCUGGGUUCAACAAGUAGAUGGGUCUCCUUGGACAUCGUGGCGACAGCCCCCCACCCUGCCCUAGCAGAAGGAUCGUGGGUGGACUGCUAGAUAAGGCCACAUCUAUCCCUUCUUUCUCUGUUCUAGGUCCCCGAUCUUUGCUCCUCUCUACCUCAGUCCCCGCGGGGCUCCUGUGUACACAGUUUUCCAGACAAGUCAUUUUUGCUGCCUAAAAGCACCCCCUCCUGUUCUCCAGCUGGCGAACGUGAGCAUGUGAGGUUACGUGGCAAAGGGAACUGAGCUCGCAGAUGGACGUUCGCUGCAUUUAGGAUAGGGAGAUGAUCCUGGGUUACCUGAGUGAGCCCAGCGUCAUGACAAGGGUCCUUCAAAGUGGAAGAAGGAACUGGAAGAGAGACUCAGAGGGAUGGCGGCAUGAGAAGGAUGCCGCCCUUUGCUGCUGGCUUUGAAGAUAGAGAAGAGGGGGGCGGUCAAGAGCCCCGAGCAUCAAACCUCCACAGUGUGCAGAGCCUCGAAGAUGGAAAAGGCGAGAAAAUGGGUCCUCCCCGAAAGCCUCCAGGAGGACACACAGCUGGGCUGACUCCAGCACAGUGAGACCUACUUCCGACUUCUGAACAACAGGGCCGUCAGAUAAAUUGGUAUUAUUUUGAGCCAACAUGUUUGUGGCAGUUCGUUACAGCAGCCACAGAAAACUAAUACAGUGUUGUUGUU